AGUAGCCGCGGUAAUACGGAGGGUGCAAGCGUUAAUCGGAAUUACUGGGCGUAAAGCGCACGCAGGCGGUUUGUUAAGUCAGAUGUGAAAUCCCCGAGCUUAACUUGGGAACUGCAUUUGAAACUGGCAAGCUAGAGUCUUGUAGAGGGGGGUAGAAUUCCAGGUGUAGCGGUGAAAUGCGUAGAGAUCUGGAGGAAUACCGGUGGCGGAGGCGGCCCCCUGGACAAAGACUGACGCUCAGGUGCGAAAGCGUGGGGAGCAAACAGGAUUAGAGACCCGUGUAGUCCCUGUCUCUUAUACA
RNAcentral lists this ribosomal RNA (301 nucleotides) under uncultured bacterium. Its description in RNAcentral is "partial 16S ribosomal RNA". It matches the Rfam family "Bacterial small subunit ribosomal RNA", at positions 510 to 808 of the family's 1533-position model. The record is from RNAcentral.